This is a long non-coding RNA of Vigna angularis (adzuki bean), 1131 nucleotides long. RefSeq lists it as uncharacterized. The transcript has 2 exons. The record is from RefSeq and is a predicted model, not a curated record. Lineage: Eukaryota; Viridiplantae; Streptophyta; Magnoliopsida; Fabales; Fabaceae.
UCAUUUCAUAUUUCCCUCUUCUUCCUUUUUGGCUUGACCCAUUUGUCACUCUCUGUCCACCAUUGCAUUGAACGUCACUCUCUCUCCACCAUUUGAGUUUGCUUUAACUCUCUUUGGUCCAUUGCUUUCACUUUGUGCAGAUUUCACUCCCUGCAGAUUGUGUGUCCGUGUGGGUUUUCUUCUCUCUACACAUUUCCCCCUUUUUGGCGGCAUGUUCCCCGUUGUGGAAGUUUUGGGUUUUUCUAUCGCAUUAUCGUUGGCGUUAUUUCUCCCAAGGUUUCGGCUUUUCGCACACAACGAUUGGUACCACGAUGAAUUCAAUAGUUGAUGCAUUUUGUUGAAAAUGCGUUUGGCGGAGUGAAAUUUUGAUUGAAGUGUUUACUUGAGUUGAAAUACAAAUGGAAGCCUAUAUUAGCAAGUAGAGUUUGAUAAUUUUUUUCUGUGUUGUUUUGGAACAAUGAUUGUCAGUUUGAAAUUUGUAUUUCAAUUGGUAUCAAAACUAACCUCGCGGGGUUAGUUCUUAGCAGUACUUGAGGAAAAGAUCCUAAGGAAUGAAAAAUGAAGGAUACGCCGUCAACCGUCCUCCCCUCUUCAAGGGCGAGAAGUUCGACUAUUGGAAACAAAGAAUGAUUGCAUUCUUUGAAUCAUGUCAUAUCAACAUGUGGGACAUGGUGGAGAACGACAACUAUAUUCCUUUGGAUGAAAACGGAGAGCUAUUCUCGAAAAGCAAAUGGAUAGACAAGCAGAAGUAGCGUUACUUGUUAAAUUGUAAAGCUCGUAAUUAUCUGAUGUGUGCUCUCUCAGAAGAAGAAUACACGAAGGUUCACACUUACGAAGGAGCAAAAGACUCCAUGGACGAGAAUGACAAAAAUGAGCUUUCAUUCAUCACGAGAAAACUCCAAACAUUAUGGAGGAAAAGAAAAGACACAAUGUUCAAGACUAGACGUCUCAAAUUUGAUUCCAAGAAUAUUACAAGAGACAAACGACCAGAAGAUAAAACUAUCUCUUAUGAGUGUAACAAACUUGGACAUUGAUCAAUGUGAACUUUGAUUCUUCAAGACUUGAUUACAUUUUAGUAUCACUUGUGAAACAUCGGUCUUAUUAUUCCUACUCUUGUUAUUGGUAUUUCAA